ACUUUCGAUGGUAGGAUAGUGGCCUACCAUGGUUUCAACGGGCUAACGGGGAAUAAGGGUUCGAUUCCGGAGAGGGAGCCUGAGAAACGGCUACCACAUCCAAGGAAGGCAGCAGGCGCGCAAAUUACCCAAUCCUAAUUCAGGGAGGUAGUGACAAUAAAUAACGAUACAGGGCCCAUUCGGGUCUUGUAAUUGGAAUGAGUACAAUGUAAAUACCUUAACGAGGAACAAUUGGAGGGCAAGUCUGGUGCCAGCAGCCGCGGUAAUUCCAGCUCCAAUAGCGUAUAUUAAAGUUGUUGCAGUUAAAAAGCUCGUAGUUGAACUUUGGGCCCGGUUGGCCGGUCCGAUUUUUUCGUGUACUGGAUUUCCAACCGGGCCUUUCCUUCUGGCUAACCUUGGGUCCUUGUGGCUCUUGGCGAACCAGGACUUUUACUUUGAAAAAAUUAGAGUGUUCAAAGCAGGCGUAUUGCUCGAAUAUAUUAGCAUGGAAUAAUAGAAUA
RNAcentral lists this ribosomal RNA (500 nucleotides) under uncultured Saccharomycetes. RNAcentral's name for it is "SSU rRNA". It matches the Rfam family "Eukaryotic small subunit ribosomal RNA", at positions 318 to 824 of the family's 1831-position model. The record is from RNAcentral. Lineage: Eukaryota; Fungi; Ascomycota; Saccharomycetes.